UCUCUCUUCUGUUCGCUCAUUUUCCAUGGGGAAAAGAAGAAGAAGUAGAUGAAGCAGAUGAUGGAAAAGGGAGAAGAAGAAGAAGAAAGAAGGAUUAAAGAAAUGGCGUCCAUCCUUCCUUUUGUUGUUGAUUCUUUGCCUACCAAUCUCUCCUAAUCUCUACCUGUCAUGUCCCCAUUCGUGUUGAUGUGACCCCUCGCCUCGUUCCCCUGCACCUUCCCCUCUCCUUUUACACGGAAUUCCCGAUUCCUUCCUCUUCACUCCUCCUCUUCCCUCCUUGCCUUUACCCCUCCCUCCCACCUUCCUCCUUCGCCAUUCAUCCUGUCCGGAAAUGCAACCAGACUACCCCGAGGAUCGCGGCUCCGAGAGCUCCGUCGAGUUCCGCGACGCCGUCUCCGGAGAGAGCGGCAAUGGCUGUCAUUCUCCCGGGGUAAAUGAUCAGAGUUCACCAAUUGAGAGUAUACCUGGUGAAGCAUUAACUUCGGUAAAGUCCGACACGGAUUCGAGCCGCACUGCGAAAGCAGGGAAAUCCACCGAGAGUAUGCCUGGCGAAGCAUCGACUUCGGGAAAGUCCGACACAGACUCGAGCCACACUGCGAAAGCAGGGAAAUCCACCAAAAACCACGGCAGCAUAUCCCACUUUGCCUCAAAACUGUUCGACGAGACAAUUCCGUUGAAAAAGAAGCUCAAGUUGCUAAGACGCCUCGCUACUGUGAAACAUGAUGGGACCGUGCAAUUUGAUGUUCCAGGAGAUGUUAAACCUUCGACUCUUGAUUUUGGAACUGGGGUAGUAUACAAUGGAUCUACUCAUGAAGAAACUUUAUCCGAAGAAAUCGAGGAUUUGCGUCCUCUCCAGAUAGUGAUGCUCAUUGUUGGGACCCGAGGAGAUGUGCAGCCUUUUGUUGCAAUCGGACAACGAUUACAGGAACAUGGGCAUAGAGUCAGACUGGCUACUCACUCAAAUUUCAAAGAGUUUGUGUUAACUGCUGGGUUGGAGUUUUUUCCUCUAGGUGGAGACCCUAAAGUUCUUGCUGGAUACAUGGUCAAGAAUAAAGGCUUCCUUCCUUCAGGACCUUCAGAAAUACCCAUCCAACGGAGUCAAAUAAAGGAGAUUAUUUUCUCUUUGUAUCCUGCAUGCAAGGAUCCCGAUCCGGAAACCAACAUAGAAUUUAAUGCAGAUGCAAUAAUUGCCAAUCCUCCAGCUUAUGGACAUACACAUGUCGCGGAGGCGCUUAAUAUACCACUUCAUAUAUUCUUCACAAUGCCAUGGACACCUACCAGCGAAUUUCCCCAUCCUCUUUCCCGUGUGAAACAACCUGUAGGGUACCGGCUAUCCUAUCAAAUUGUGGAUGCGAUGAUUUGGCUUGGAAUAAGAGACAUGAUCAAUGAUUUUAGAAAGAAGAGAUUGAGGCUCAGACCUGUGACAUAUUUACGUGGGCCCUACAUGUCUCCUCCAAAUUUGCCUUACGGUUAUAUCUGGAGUCCUCACUUAGUGCCAAAACCUAAAGACUGGGGCCCUAAGAUUGAUGUAGUUGGAUUUUGUUUCCUUGAUCUUGCAUCAAGUUAUGAACCUCCAGAGUCACUGGUUAAAUGGCUGAAGAAAGAUGAAAAGCAGAAGCCAAUUUACAUUGGUUUCGGUAGCCUUCCAGUUCAAAAACCUGAGAAGAUGACUGAGAUAAUAGUUAAAGCUCUUGAAAUUACUCACCAGAGAGGUAUCAUUAACAAAGGAUGGGGUGGUCUUGGGAAUUUGGAAACGCCAAAAGAGUUUGUGUACUCGUUGGACAAUUGCCCCCAUGACUGGCUUUUUCCCCAGUGCAGUGCUGUGGUACAUCAUGGGGGAGCUGGUACAACUGCUGCUGGCCUGAAGGCUGCGUGCCCGACAACUGUUGUGCCUUUUUUUGGAGAUCAGCCAUUUUGGGGAGAAAGGGUGCAUGCAAGAGGGGUUGGCCCUGCACCCAUUCCAGUUGACGAGUUCUCUCUCGAGAAGUUGGUCAGUGCAAUACACUUCAUGCUAGAUCCAAAGGUGAAGAAAAGUGCGGAGGAACUCGCCAGAGCCAUGGAGAACGAAGAUGGUGUCACGGGGGCCGUGCGAGCCUUUUACAAGCACUUCCCUCAAAGAAACUUGACUUCAGAUUGCCAGCCAUUGCCUAACAAAUCGAGUACGCGGAAAUCAAGUGCACUUUCAAUGAGACGAUGUUUCGGCUGCUCCUGAGUUUUUCCCAUGUCAAGGUUCUCUCAUGUUCCGUGCUUUUUUUACUCCUAUUGUUUAGUUGUUGUAUGUGAUUGUGUAUAUGUCAAAUUGCCAAAGCUUUGGUUCCUUGAUGGCCAGUUUUGCCUCGAGAUUUUGUUCUAUCAUGUAUUUCGGCCUCGAAACCACUACGGAUUUCAUUCCAGUUAGGCGAAUGUCCUUCCAUUCGUUGAGGUGGUUGUAUUUGGCGGAGGGAUGAUGCCUCAUCGGUGCUGAUACACAGUAUAUGAUUAAUGGAAGUGUCAUCAUACAAAUAUUGUUAGGAAUGGCAACUGGGCGGGUUGGGGCAGAUACUUGAGUAUCCAUGAUUGCCCCGCUCUCCUUGCCGGUCCCGUGCCAGUAAGGCCAGGCGGAUCCAUGCCUGCCCUGUCUCGAGAUUGGAGAAGAUUUUAUAGCAAUGAAGAAAAAUGAGUAGACUAUCACUGUCGCAUUUCACUUAUUCAUUUGUCAUUUGUCAUUGCCCCUAAUAUAUUUUUGUCACCAGUUAGCCUCAAACGUUGACAUUCCGUCUAAUAUUUAUACAUUUCCGUUAACUUUCGUGACGGAAAAUUCAUGGA
Molecule: non-coding RNA, 2805 nt
Organism: Punica granatum (pomegranate)
Lineage: Eukaryota; Viridiplantae; Streptophyta; Magnoliopsida; Myrtales; Lythraceae
Source: RefSeq, a predicted model, not a curated record